RNAcentral lists this ribosomal RNA (253 nucleotides) under uncultured bacterium. RNAcentral describes it as "partial 16S ribosomal RNA". It matches the Rfam family "Bacterial small subunit ribosomal RNA", at positions 524 to 776 of the family's 1533-position model. The record is from RNAcentral.
UACGUAGGGUGCGAGCGUUGUCCGGAAUUACUGGGCGUAAAGAGCUUGUAGGUGGUUUGUCGCGUUGUUCGUGAAAUCUCACGGCUCAACUGUGAGCGUGCGGGCGAUACGGGCAGACUAGAGUACUGCAGGGGAGACUGGAAUUCCUGGUGUAGCGGUGGAAUGCGCAGAUAUCAGGAGGAACACCAGUGGCGAAGGCGACUCUUUGGUCUGUAACUGACGCUGAGGCGCGAAAGCGUGGGGAGCAAACAGG